This 459-nucleotide ribosomal RNA is filed under the name uncultured bacterium. RNAcentral's name for it is "partial 16S ribosomal RNA". It matches the Rfam family "Bacterial small subunit ribosomal RNA", at positions 338 to 795 of the family's 1533-position model. The record is from RNAcentral.
CCUACGGGUGGCAGCAGUGAGGAAUAUUGGUCAAUGGGCGAGAGCCUGAACCAGCCAAGUCGCGUGAGGGAAGACGGUCCUAUGGAUUGUAAACCUCUUUUGCCGGGGAGCAAAAAGCGGUACGUGUACCGCAUCGAGAGUACCCGGAGAAAAAGCAUCGGCUAACUCCGUGCCAGCAGCCGCGGUAAUACGGAGGAUGCGAGCGUUAUCCGGAUUUAUUGGGUUUAAAGGGUGCGCGGGGGGUGAGUUAAGUCAGCGGUAAAAUUUUGGGGCUCAACCCCGAAAAGCCGUUGAAACUGGCUUGCUAGAGUGGGCGAGAAGUAUGCGGAAUGCGUGGUGUAGCGGUGAAAUGCGUAGAUAUCAGGAGGAAUACCGUUAGCGAAGGCGGCAAUCUGGCUGGACACUGACGCUGAGGUGCGAAAGCGUGGGUAGCAAACAGGAUUAGAUACCCCUGUAGUC